AAGUCGUAACAAGGUUUCCGUAGGUGAACCUGCGGAAGGAUCAUUAAAGUAUUCUUCGGUGCAGCCAGCGCUUCCACAGCGCGGCAGCCCAAACCUUACACACUGUGAUUAGUUUUUUUACUAUUUACUUCGGCUGCGCAAGUGGCCAAAGGUCUUAAACACAAAGAUUUAUAUCUUUUUUUACAAAAUUUAGUCAAUGAAGUUUUAAUACUAUAAUCUUCAAAACUUUCAACAACGGAUCUCUUGGUUCUC
RNAcentral lists this unclassified non-coding RNA (252 nucleotides) under Williopsis suaveolens. RNAcentral describes it as "Cyberlindnera suaveolens partial internal transcribed spacer region". The stretch from base 1 to 46 matches the Rfam family "Eukaryotic small subunit ribosomal RNA", at positions 1786 to 1831 of the family's 1831-position model. Lineage: Eukaryota; Fungi; Ascomycota; Saccharomycetes; Phaffomycetales; Wickerhamomycetaceae. The record is from RNAcentral.